GAUGAAGAACGCAGCGAAAUGCGAUAAGUAAUGUGAAUUGCAGAAUUCAGUGAAUCAUCGAAUCCUUGAACGCAUCUUGCGCUCCUUGGUAUUCUGAGGAGCAUGCCUGUUUGAGUGUCAUUAAAUUCUCAACUACACUGACUUUGAAUUGGUGUGGCUUGGAUUUGGGGGGAAAAUUGUUGUGGGCUUUUUGUAUAGUCUGCUCCCCUGAAAUUGAUUAGCGGUACCUUUGUGGAACUGUCUACAGGUGUGAUAAUUAUCUACAUCUUAGACAUCUGCUGGAAUGCUGCUUUCUAAACCUUACUUGUAUUGACAAUCUUGACCUCAAAUCAGGUAGGACUACCCGCUGAACUUAAGCAUAUCAAUAAGCGGAGGA
RNAcentral lists this unclassified non-coding RNA (376 nucleotides) under soil metagenome. RNAcentral describes it as "partial contains 5.8S ribosomal RNA, internal transcribed spacer 2, and large subunit ribosomal RNA". The stretch from base 1 to 120 matches the Rfam family "5.8S ribosomal RNA", at positions 35 to 154 of the family's 154-position model. The record is from RNAcentral.